This is a long non-coding RNA of Dreissena polymorpha, 448 nucleotides long. RefSeq lists it as uncharacterized. Lineage: Eukaryota; Metazoa; Mollusca; Bivalvia; Myida; Dreissenidae. The transcript has 3 exons. The record is from RefSeq and is a predicted model, not a curated record.
CAUUCUUGUAAAUUACAAGAACAUUAAACAGAUAAACUACUACAACUUUGAAAAACUUAUCGCAGACCAAUAUCUUGAUUUUAACAAGACGUAUGACUAUCACAGCAUUAUGCAUUAUGGCAAAAAUUUUUUCGCCGACCCACUCAAUGCAAUUUCGAUGGCACCGAUAGACGAAGAUUAUUUGGAUAUAAUUGGAGAAGCACGACAGCUCAGCUUCCAUGAUGUACAAAUCGUGAACGCCAUGUAUAAGUGCAAAGAGAAGUGUGCUCACGUAGAAUGCCCGAAGGAUGCAUUUGUGGGGAAAAACUGCGAAUGCUUUUGCCAGGGACCUCCCGAAGAUCCAGUUCUACGAUGCACCCGAAACCGGAAAGGUAUGGAUGUAUAUCGCAAUAGCAUACCCUUUUUUCACAAUUGUAUAGGUUUUCGUAGACUCUAGUUACUCUAAAAG